Molecule: ribosomal RNA, 253 nt
Filed under: uncultured bacterium
Lineage: Bacteria
Description: partial 16S ribosomal RNA
Rfam family: Bacterial small subunit ribosomal RNA
Source: RNAcentral
UACGUAGGGUGCAGGCGUUAAUCGGAAUUACUGGGCGUAAAGCGUGCGCAGGCGGUCUGCUAAGUGAGGUGUGAAAUCCCCGGGCUUAACCUGGGAACUGCGCUUCUAACUGGCAGGCUAGAGUGUGGCAGAGGGGGGUGGAAUUCCACGUGUAGCAGUGAAAUGCGUAGAGAUGUGGAGGAACACCGAUGGCGAAGGCAGCCCCCUGGGCUAACACUGACGCUCAUGCACGAAAGCGUGGGGAGCAAACAGG